Molecule: ribosomal RNA, 465 nt
Filed under: uncultured bacterium
Lineage: Bacteria
Description: partial 16S ribosomal RNA
Rfam family: Bacterial small subunit ribosomal RNA
Source: RNAcentral
GACGAACGCUGGCGGCGUGCUUAACACAUGCAAGUCGAACGGAAAGGCCCUGCUUGCAGGGUACUCGAGUGGCGAACGGGUGAGUAACACGUGGGUGAUCUGCCCUGCACUUCGGGAUAAGCCUGGGAAACUGGGUCUAAUACCGGAUAGGAGCCAUUUUUAGUGUGAUGGUUGGAAAGUUUUUUCGGUGUAGGAUGAGCUCGCGGCCUAUCAGCUUGUUGGUGGGGUAAUGGCCUACCAAGGCGGCGACGGGUAGCCGGCCUGAGAGGGUGGACGGCCACAUUGGGACUGAGAUACGGCCCAGACUCCUACGGGAGGCAGCAGUGGGGAAUAUUGCACAAUGGGCGCAAGCCUGGUGCAGCGACGCCGCGUGGGGGAUGACGGCCUUCGGGUUGUAAACUCCUUUCGCUAGGGACGAAGCUUUUUGUGACGGUACCUAGAGAAGAAGCACCGGCUAACUACGUG